UAUGAAUUGUGUUGGUAUGACAUAUACAAUUUUUAUAACCUUACACAUUCAAAUUUUAUUUAUUUAUUAGUUUCUAAUUUUGAGUUCCAUUUGUAAUAGAGAUUUAUACAUUCCUGCAAAGAAUGAAUAUCAGGCGGGAAAAAGAGAAGGAAGAGCUGGAAGCACUCAAUAAAAAGUUGCAAAUAGACAAUCUCCAGUUAACAAGAUCUCACAUUGAAAAGAAAAAUAAGUUUGCCAACCUAACUCGUUGCUUAAAUGACAGGCAGCGGGAAGAAGAUGAACUUAAUAGAGCAACAAAAAUUAAGGAGCACAUCGCCCUGCAAAAUGCGAAAGUUGAACAGGAGCAACAGUUGGUAACCCAAA
Photinus pyralis (common eastern firefly) is the source of this 363-nucleotide long non-coding RNA. RefSeq lists it as uncharacterized. NCBI's taxonomy places the organism in Eukaryota, Metazoa, Arthropoda, Insecta, Coleoptera, Lampyridae. The transcript has 2 exons. The record is from RefSeq and is a predicted model, not a curated record.